AAUCCAUAGGUUAAUGAGGCGAACCGGGGGAACUGAAACAUCUAAGUACCCCGAGGAAAAGAAAUCAACCGAGAUUCCCCCAGUAGCGGCGAGCGAACGGGGAGGAGCCCAGAGCCUGAAUCAGCAUGUGUGUUAGUGGAAGCGUCUGGAAAGGCGCGCGAUACAGGGUGACAGCCCCGUACACAAAAGCGCAUGUGCUGUGAGCUCGAUGAGUAGGGCGGGACACGUGGUAUCCUGUCUGAAUAUGGGGGGACCAUCCUCCAAGGCUAAAUACUCCUGACUGACCGAUAGUGAACCAGUACCGUGAGGGAAAGGCGAAAAGAACCCCGGCGAGGGGAGUGAAAAAGAACCUGAAACCGUGUACGUACAAGCAGUGGGAGCCCCACCACCAAAGCGUUUCGCUUUGUGUGGUGCACAAAGAAGCGUAACGACAGCACUGAAUGACGGUUAACGGAGCGCAAGCGACGUUCAACAUACAAAGUCAAGCAGUGGAGCGCUUUGGGGUGGGGUGACUG
Molecule: ribosomal RNA, 515 nt
Filed under: Salmonella enterica subsp. enterica serovar Weltevreden
Lineage: Bacteria; Pseudomonadati; Pseudomonadota; Gammaproteobacteria; Enterobacterales; Enterobacteriaceae
Description: partial 23S ribosomal RNA
Rfam family: Bacterial large subunit ribosomal RNA
Source: RNAcentral